GAACUGAAGAGUUUGAUCAUGGCUCAGAUUGAACGCUGGCGGCAGGCCUAACACAUGCAAGUCGAGCGGAUGAAGGGAGCUUGCUCCUGGAUUCAGCGGCGGACGGGU
Molecule: ribosomal RNA, 108 nt
Filed under: Pseudomonas aeruginosa
Lineage: Bacteria; Pseudomonadati; Pseudomonadota; Gammaproteobacteria; Pseudomonadales; Pseudomonadaceae
Description: partial 16S ribosomal RNA
Rfam family: Bacterial small subunit ribosomal RNA
Source: RNAcentral